GACGAACGCUGGCGGCGUGCCUAACACAUGCAAGUCGAGCGAGAGACUUCGGUCUCUAGCGGCGGACGGGUGAGUAACACGUGGGUAACCUGCCUCAUAGUGGGGGAUAGCCUUCCGAAAGGAAGAUUAAUGCCGCAUAUACUCUCGAUACCACAUGGUAUUUAGAGGAAAGGAGCAAUUCGCUAUGAGAUGGACCCGCGGCGCAUUAGCUAGUUGGUGAGGUAACGGCUCACCAAGGCGACGAUGCGUAGCCGACCUGAGAGGGUGAUCGGCCACAUUGGAACUGAGACACGGUCCAGACUCCUACGGGAGGCAGCAGUGGGGAAUAUUGCACAAUGGGCGAAAGCCUGAUGCGGCAACGCCGCGUGAGUGAUGACGGCCUUCGGGUUGUAAAGCUCUGUCUUUUGGGACGAUAAUGACGGUACCAAAGGAGGAAGCCACGGCUAACUACGUGCCAGCCGCCGCCGUAA
This 470-nucleotide ribosomal RNA is filed under the name uncultured bacterium. RNAcentral describes it as "partial 16S ribosomal RNA". It matches the Rfam family "Bacterial small subunit ribosomal RNA", at positions 28 to 523 of the family's 1533-position model. The record is from RNAcentral.